ACAUACUAAAAAUAGAUUUUUAUUUUAUUCAAAAACUAAAAAUAGAAAGCAGAUAUACCAGAGAAGGUCAACCAGCUAGAAAAAAAAUUAGUGUGUUGUAAGAAUUGAUUGAUAUUUAGAAAAUUAAAGUUGAAUGCGUCAAUAAAAAUUAAAAAAUUGUUUUUUGUCAAUCUAUCUUUAUUUAGAGCUCAAAAGAGUCAACUCUAAGAAAUGUUGUUUGCAUAUGUGAUAUGAUACGGUUAGAUAUCGAGAAAGGUAGAAAA
RNAcentral lists this small RNA (263 nucleotides) under Arabidopsis thaliana (thale cress). Its description in RNAcentral is "ATSL213130". Lineage: Eukaryota; Viridiplantae; Streptophyta; Magnoliopsida; Brassicales; Brassicaceae. The record is from RNAcentral.